GAGAAAACGAGUUUAAACCCUAACCUCAAACUCAACCAGCCCCCAGAAGCCUCCAUGUUGUCUGUAACCUGUUUGCUAGACCCAUGGGUCUGCAAGCCCACGUUGCUCGGCCUCUAGACUCUACUGUUCAACCUCCAGAAGAAAACCAGCGUCCGCCUCAACCAACACGAGCACUCCACGUAAUAAAAUCAAAAUCUAUUUGUGUGGCCGUUAGGAAUCCGUAAGCCAAUCCAUAGAGUUGAUCUGAUCUCCAUGAUCGAUGCUUCACUUCUCACGCACUCCAAAAACCUUGCCUUCUAUAAAAGCCCAUUACAGACCCAUCUGCCUUUCUCAAGGACAAUCGCUCCGGAACAGUGUUCAACGUCUUCUUCUCUUCUACCUCAGGUACCCACCCGCCCGUUCGAUCAAUGGCUGCUUCACUCUCAACCGUCGGAGCUGUUAACAGAGUACCGUUGAACUUGAAUGGCGCAGGUGCAGGAUCUUCAGUGCCUAGCUCAGCAUUCUUUGGCAGCAGCUUGAAGAAGAUAAAUUCCAAGAUCAUUAACCAGAAGCUCUUGUCAGGGAAUUUCAAGGUUUCUGCAGAAUAUGACGAGCAGAAGCAGACCUCCAAAGACAGAUGGGGAGCUCUUGCAUCUGACACAUCUGAUGACCAACAGGACAUUACUAGAGGAAAGGGAAUGGUAGAUUCUGUCUUCCAAGCUCCCAUGGGAACAGGAACUCACAACCCAAUCAUGAGUUCGUCUGACUAUAUCAGUCAAGGUCUUCGCCAGUACAUGGACAAUAAUAUGGAUGGUUUCUACAUUGCACCUGCAUUCAUGGACAAGAUCGUUGUUCACAUCACCAAGAACUUCUUGAACCUUCCAAAUAUUAAGGUUCCUCUCAUCUUGGGUAUCUGGGGAGGCAAAGGUCAAGGAAAAUCAUUCCAAUGUGAGCUUGUAUUUGCCAAGAUGGGAAUCAGCCCCAUUAUGAUGAGUGCUGGUGAGUUAGAAAGUGGGAAUGCUGGAGAGCCUGCGAAAUUGAUCAGGCAAAGGUAUCGCGAGGCAGCAGACAUUAUUAAAAAGAAGGGAAAGAUGUGUUGCCUCUUUAUCAACGAUCUAGAUGCUGGGGCAGGUAGGCUAGGUGGUACUACGCAAUACACAGUCAACAAUCAGAUGGUUAAUGCUACCCUGAUGAACAUUGCCGAUAACCCAACCAAUGUCCAGCUUCCUGGUAUGUACAACAAAGAGGAGAAUCCCCGUGUUCCUAUCAUAGUUACAGGCAAUGACUUCUCUACAUUGUAUGCCCCUCUCAUCCGAGAU
RNAcentral lists this unclassified non-coding RNA (1298 nucleotides) under Hevea brasiliensis (rubber tree). Lineage: Eukaryota; Viridiplantae; Streptophyta; Magnoliopsida; Malpighiales; Euphorbiaceae. The record is from RNAcentral.